AUUGAACGCUGGCGGCAGGCCUAACACAUGCAAGUCGAGCGGAUGAAGGGAGCUUGCUCCCGGAUUCAGCGGCGGACGGGUGAGUAAUGCCUAGGAAUCUGCCUGGUAGUGGGGGAUAACGUCCGGAAACGGGCGCUAAUACCGCAUACGUCCUGAGGGAGAAAGUGGGGGAUCUUCGGACCUCACGCUAUCAGAUGAGCCUAGGUCGGAUUAGCUAGUUGGUGGGGUAAAGGCCUACCAAGGCGACGAUCCGUAACUGGUCUGAGAGGAUGAUCAGUCACACUGGAACUGAGACACGGUCCAGACUCCUACGGGAGGCAGCAGUGGGGAAUAUUGGACGAUGGGCGAAAGCCUGAUCCAGCCAUGCCGCGUGUGUGAAGAAGGUCUUCGGAUUGUAAAGCACUUUAAGUUGGGAGGAAGGGCAGUAAGUUAAUACCUUGCUGUUUUGACGUUACCAACAGAAUAAGCACCGGCUAACUUCGUG
This 484-nucleotide ribosomal RNA is filed under the name uncultured bacterium. Its description in RNAcentral is "partial 16S ribosomal RNA". It matches the Rfam family "Bacterial small subunit ribosomal RNA", at positions 30 to 507 of the family's 1533-position model. The record is from RNAcentral.